CCUACGGGGGGCUGCAGUGGGGAAUAUUGGACAAUGGGCGAAAGCCUGAUCCAGCCAUGCCGCGUGUGUGAAGAAGGCCUUCGGGUUGUAAAGCACUUUCAGUGGGGAAGAAAGCCUUGGGGCUAAUACCCUCGAGGAAGGACAUCACCCACAGAAGAAGCACCGGCUAACUCCGUGCCAGCAGCCGCGGUAAUACGGAGGGUGCGAGCGUUAAUCGGAAUUACUGGGCGUAAAGCGCGCGUAGGCGGUCUGAUAAGCCGGUUGUGAAAGCCCCGGGCUCAACCUGGGAACGGCAUCCGGAACUGUCAGGCUAGAGUGCAGGAGAGGACGGUAGAAUUCCCGGUGUAGCGGUGAAAUGCGUAGAGAUCGGGAGGAAUACCAGUGGCGAAGGCGGCCGUCUGGACUGACACUGACGCUGAGGUGCGAAAGCGGGGGUAGCAAACAGGAUUAGAUACCCGAGUAGUC
RNAcentral lists this ribosomal RNA (465 nucleotides) under Vreelandella stevensii. Its description in RNAcentral is "partial 16S ribosomal RNA". It matches the Rfam family "Bacterial small subunit ribosomal RNA", at positions 338 to 795 of the family's 1533-position model. Lineage: Bacteria; Pseudomonadati; Pseudomonadota; Gammaproteobacteria; Oceanospirillales; Halomonadaceae. The record is from RNAcentral.